Molecule: ribosomal RNA, 404 nt
Filed under: Fusobacteriota bacterium
Lineage: Bacteria; Fusobacteriati; Fusobacteriota
Description: Fusobacteria bacterium partial 16S ribosomal RNA
Rfam family: Bacterial small subunit ribosomal RNA
Source: RNAcentral
UGGGGAAUAUUGCACAAUGGAGGGAACUCUGAUGCAGCGACGCCGCGUGAGUGAUGAAGGAAUUCGUUUCGUAAAACUCUGUUCUAUGGGAAGAAAAGGACUGUACCAUAGGAGAAAGCUCCGGCUAAAUACGUGCCAGCAGCCGCGGUAAUACGUAUGGAGCGAGCGUUGUCCGGAAUUAUUGGGCGUAAAGGGUGCGCAGGCGGCUUUACAAGUUGGAUGUGAAAUAUUGUGGCUCAACCACAAACGUGCAUCCAAAACUGCAAAGCUUGAGUUAAGGAGAGGUAAGUGGAAUUCCUGGUGUAGCCGUGGAAUGCGUAGAUAUCAGGAGGAAUACCGGUGGCGAAGGCGACUUACUGGACUUAAACUGACGCUCAGGCACGAAAGCGUGGGGAGCAAACAGG